CUCCCUAAUCCAAGAGAUGAUGUGACUGGGAAUAUCUGCCCUGCGGGGACUUACUGCACUGCAGCAUCGGCAGUCCCCACGCUCUGCCCAGCAGGCACUUUCUCUAGCCUGCCAGGGAGGAGAACACUUUCUGAGUGCCAGCCUUGCCCCUCUGGCUUCUAUUGUGAGUUACCUGGUCUCAGUGCCCCCACUGGAGAGUGCUGGGAAGGUUAUUACUGUGACAACCAACAAGGGCCAGUUAUAGAUUUCACCCUUUACCCGUGCCCACAAGGCUUUUACUGCCCACCAGGGACAAACAGGAGCACUCAGUACAGCUGUCCUGAAGGAACCUUUGGACCAAGGCAAAGGCUAAGAACUAUCAAGGAAUGUCAGAGAUGCCCACCAGGAAAAUACUGUGAAUCCUCUGGACUUGCUGCCCCAACAGGUCCAUAAAACAUUUAAGUGACUUCAGGCUUCACGUAAGGAUGGU
This 469-nucleotide long non-coding RNA is filed under the name Anas zonorhyncha (Eastern spot-billed duck). RNAcentral's name for it is "lncRNA (ENSAZOG00000012925.1)". The record is from RNAcentral. Lineage: Eukaryota; Metazoa; Chordata; Aves; Anseriformes; Anatidae.